This 63-nucleotide transfer RNA is filed under the name Pariaconus pele. RNAcentral's name for it is "tRNA-Val". The record is from RNAcentral. Lineage: Eukaryota; Metazoa; Arthropoda; Insecta; Hemiptera; Triozidae.
GAAAUAAAUAGCUAAAUUUUAAGUUUAUUGGUUACAUCAAUGAGAUACUGUAAAGUUUUAUUU